UGAGCAACCUACCGAACUGUGGGGGAUAGCCGGCCUAACGGCCGAGUAAUACCGCAUACGCUCUCAGGGAGGCAUUUUCUUUGAGAGGAAACCUACGGGACAGAUCGAGGGGCUCGCGGCCUAUCAGCUAGUUGGCGAGGUAACGGCUCACCAAGGCAACGACGGGUAGCUGGU
Molecule: ribosomal RNA, 174 nt
Filed under: uncultured bacterium
Lineage: Bacteria
Description: partial 16S ribosomal RNA
Rfam family: Bacterial small subunit ribosomal RNA
Source: RNAcentral